RNAcentral lists this ribosomal RNA (552 nucleotides) under Triticum aestivum (bread wheat). RNAcentral describes it as "partial small subunit ribosomal RNA". Lineage: Eukaryota; Viridiplantae; Streptophyta; Magnoliopsida; Poales; Poaceae. The record is from RNAcentral.
AUGCGUAUUCCAGGGCCUUCUCCCCAAAAUCGACGGCCUCAUUCAGUUACGGGCGGCUGGAGAAGUUUGGGCGACGAGCGCCGCCGGCGACCAGCAAUGGAGUUCCUGCUGCAGCCAAUCCGCGGAUCCGCUUUCUUGGAAGAGGUAGGAGAGAGUCUGGUGCCGCCGGUGGUUCCUGAACUGGGCUCUGUGGCGGUGGAGCAGCAUGUAGAAGACAUGGUGGUCGAGCUGCCAGUGGUGCAGCAGGAGAUGUCGUCCCAUGUGCACCAAUCCGCCAGCGGCCAUGCGCAGAUUGUGGCUGGACCGGCGUCGGGCGGAGUUAGGUUGGAGAGCUCACCGCCGUCGUCAGAGUUGUCCACUAGGAAAAUGACUCCGCGAGCCCCUGGGUGGAACAAGAGGUUGAGGAUUGGAGCUGCUGCCCCGAGUAGGCCACCGUGUCCAAACCGCAUCAGCGCGUUUGAGAAGGCUGUGCGGGGUUUUGCUGAGAACCCUACGGAGAAUGUUAUCACACCAGUUACUGGCACAACAUUUGACUCGGUGGGAGAGGCUUAG